GGCGAACUGGUGAGUAACACGUGGGAAACCUGCCCAGAAGCGGGGGAUAACACCUGGAAACAGAUGCUAAUACCGCAUAACAACUUGGACCGCAUGGUCCGAGUUUGAAAGAUGGCUUCGGCUAUCACUUUUGGAUGGUCCCGCGGCGUAUUAGCUAGAUGGUGGGGUAACGGCUCACCAUGGCAAUGAUACGUAGCCGACCUGAGAGGGUAAUCGGCCACAUUGGGACUGAGACACGGCCCAAACUCCUACGGGAGGCAGCAGUAGGGAAUCUUCCACAAUGGACGAAAGUCUGAUGGAGCAACGCCGCGUGAGUGAAGAAGGGUUUCGGCUCGUAAAACUCUGUUGUUAAAGAAGAACAUAUCUGAGAGUAACUGUUCAGGUAUUGACGGUAUUUAACCAGAAAGCCACGGCUAACUACGUGCCAGCAGCCGCGGUAAUACGUAGGUGGCAAGCGUUGUCCGGAUUUAUUGGGCGUAAAGCGAGCGCAGGCGGUUUUUUAAGUCUGAUGUGAAAGCCUUCGGCUCAACCGAAGAAGUGCAUCGGAAACUGGGAAACUUGAGUGCAGAAGAGGACAGUGGAACUCCAUGUGUAGCGGUGAAAUGCGUAGAUAUAUGGAAGAACACCAGUGGCGAAGGCGGCUGUCUGGUCUGUAACUGACGCUGAGGCUCGAAAGUAUGGGUAGCAAACAGGAUUAGAUACCCUGGUAGUCCAUACCGUAAACGAUGAAUGCUAAGUGUUGGAGGGUUUCCGCCCUUCAGUGCUGCAGCUAACGCAUUAAGCAUUCCGCCUGGGGAGUACGGCCGCAAGGCUGAAACUCAAAGGAAUUGACGGGGGCCCGCACAAGCGGUGGAGCAUGUGGUUUAAUUCGAAGCUACGCGAAGAACCUUACCAGGUCUUGACAUACUAUGCAAAUCUAAGAGAUUAGACGUUCCCUUCGGGGACAUGGAUACAGGUGGUGCAUGGUUGUCGUCAGCUCGUGUCGUGAGAUGUUGGGUUAAGUCCCGCAACGAGCGCAACCCUUAUUAUCAGUUGCCAGCAUUAAGUUGGGCACUCUGGUGAGACUGCCGGUGACAAACCGGAGGAAGGUGGGGAUGACGUCAAAUCAUCAUGCCCCUUAUGACCUGGGCUACACACGUGCUACAAUGGAUGGUACAACGAGUUGCGAACUCGCGAGAGUAAGCUAAUCUCUUAAAGCCAUUCUCAGUUCGGAUUGUAGGCUGCAACUCGCCUACAUGAAGUCGGAAUCGCUAGUAAUCGCGGAUCAGCAUGCCGCGGUGAAUACGUUCCCGGGCCUUGUACACACCG
RNAcentral lists this ribosomal RNA (1308 nucleotides) under Lactobacillus sp. RNAcentral describes it as "bacterial SSU rRNA". It matches the Rfam family "Bacterial small subunit ribosomal RNA", at positions 97 to 1392 of the family's 1533-position model. The record is from RNAcentral. Lineage: Bacteria; Bacillati; Bacillota; Bacilli; Lactobacillales; Lactobacillaceae.